This 93-nucleotide transfer RNA is filed under the name Hypsizygus marmoreus. It matches the Rfam family "tRNA". From Rfam's summary of the family: Transfer RNA (tRNA) molecules are approximately 80 nucleotides in length. Lineage: Eukaryota; Fungi; Basidiomycota; Agaricomycetes; Agaricales; Lyophyllaceae. The record is from Rfam by way of RNAcentral.
GGCAACAUGGCCGAGUGGUCUAAGGCGCUGGAAUUAGGCUAAUGCCUUCAAAUCCAGUCCGAAAGGGCAGGAGUUCGAACCUCCUUGUUGUCA